RNAcentral lists this ribosomal RNA (492 nucleotides) under uncultured bacterium. RNAcentral describes it as "partial 16S ribosomal RNA". It matches the Rfam family "Bacterial small subunit ribosomal RNA", at positions 29 to 507 of the family's 1533-position model. The record is from RNAcentral.
AGUGAACGCUGGCGGUAGGCCUAACACAUGCAAGUCGAACGGCAGCACAGUAAGAGCUUGCUCUUACGGGUGGCGAGUGGCGGACGGGUGAGGAAUACAUCGGAAUCUACUUUUUCGUGGGGGAUAACGUAGGGAAACUUACGCUAAUACCGCAUACGACCUACGGGUGAAAGCAGGGGAUCUUCGGACCUUGCGCGAUUGAAUGAGCCGAUGUCGGAUUAGCUAGUUGGCGGGGUAAAGGCCCACCAAGGCGACGAUCCGUAGCUGGUCUGAGAGGAUGAUCAGCCACACUGGAACUGAGACACGGUCCAGACGCCUACGGGAGGCAGCAGUGGGGAAUAUUGGACAAUGGGCGCAGGCCUGAUCCAGCCAUACCGCGUGGGUGAAGAAGGCCUUCGGGUUGUAAAGCCCUUUUGUUGGGAAAGAAAAGCAGCAGGUUAAUACCCCGCUGUUCUGACGGUACCCAAAGAAUAAGCACCGGCUAACUUCGUG